This 482-nucleotide ribosomal RNA is filed under the name uncultured bacterium. RNAcentral's name for it is "partial 16S ribosomal RNA". It matches the Rfam family "Bacterial small subunit ribosomal RNA", at positions 28 to 523 of the family's 1533-position model. The record is from RNAcentral.
GAUGAACGCUGGCGGCGUGCUUAACACAUGCAAGUCGAACGAUGAAACCUAGCUUGCUAGGUCGAUUGGUGACGAACGGGUGAGUAACACGUGACUAACCUGCCCCUUUCUCUGGGAUAACGCUCCGAAAGGAGGGCUAAUACCGGAUACUAACACCGAGGCACAUGCCUUGGUGUGGAAAGUGUUUCGGGAAGGAAUGGAGUCGCGGCCGAUCAGCUUGUUGGUGAGGUAACGGCUCACGAAGGCGACGACGGGUAGCCGGUCUGAGAGGGCGAACGGCCACACUGGGACUGAGACACGGCCCAGAGUGCUACGGGAGGCAGCAGUGGGGAAUAUUGCACAAUGGGCGCAAGCCUGAUGCAGCGACGCCGCGUGAGGGAUGAAGGUCUUCGGAUUGUAAACCUCUUUCAGUAGGGACGAAGCGAAAGUGACGGUACCUAAAGAAGAAGCACCGGCUAACUACGUGCCAGCAGCCGCGGUAA